Molecule: non-coding RNA, 499 nt
Organism: Cinara cedri
Lineage: Eukaryota; Metazoa; Arthropoda; Insecta; Hemiptera; Aphididae
Source: the annotation of a GenBank genome assembly
AGUAGGCAAUUUCUUAGCGAAUAUUCACUGUGUGUCCUCUCUCCCUUGAAAAAGCUGUACGAGUUGAUACUUUCCUUUUUAACUUUUGGACUUCGAACGGUUACCGUCCCAUCCACCAGUGAGAGCGUUAGGUUAGGUACAUGAAUUAUAAUGUUAAAAAAUCUAUACAAUUCAAUCAUUCACUAUUUAUUCUCUUGCGAACACACAGUAAACUACUCUACUACAGCGUCCAAUAUAGGCAUUACCGUCGAUCCAUUUGGACACAGAAAACUUCCUUAAAAUGGCGCUGUUUAAAAAUCAAACGUUCGAAAAUAAUAACACUUUUAUAUUAUAAUACGAUGAACGCAUAUUUCUAUAAUUCGUUGUUAAAAUAUCAAUAAAAAUUAUCAAACGGUAUAUUAUUAUUUCUCGGGAAAUCCCGUAUCUAAAAAUUAUAAAGCUGGGGCAUUUCAUUUGACGGGCAGCCGUCAUUUCGGCGAUGACCGAUACUCUUUUUUUU